UACAUUGCUCUGAAAUCAAAUUAAAAUGAAGGCUGUCGCUUCAAUUUUCAUGGUGAUGCUAUUUCUUUCGACCAACAUUGAAAAUGAAGGAGGUUUGAAAAUGGUAGAGGGAACAAGGGUUGAGAAAACGUUGUUUGAGGUUUGCACAGACAUACUAAACAACAAUUGUGGAGACAUGAACCAGUGUUUGAAUCUUUGUCGCAAGAAGUAUGGCUUCUUAGCAAGUGGUGAAUGUAACAACAAAAAACAAUGUGUGUGUACUCACCCAUGUUAAGUUUUUCAUCUUCUUCCAAUUACAAUUUCAAUCUUAUUUCUUAUAAAUCA
This is a long non-coding RNA of Vigna unguiculata (cowpea), 324 nucleotides long. RefSeq lists it as uncharacterized. The record is from RefSeq and is a predicted model, not a curated record. Lineage: Eukaryota; Viridiplantae; Streptophyta; Magnoliopsida; Fabales; Fabaceae.